GACCUCCCGGGCCCUCCCCCGACACCGCCCCUUCCCGGGACUGGACCCCCUCCUCUGCUCUCUGGGCGCCCCCUGGACUCCGGGCAGGCCCCUACUCCUGCCCGCCCAGGGCGAGCGCGCCCGAUCAUUGACUUUCAGGGAGCCCCCCUCCCCCGCCUCGCAACUUUCGGUCGCUCCCCCGCCCCCUGUCCCAUGUCCCGCCGCUCCGACGUGGCUGCUGGGGGUUGGGGGGGGUGCGGUAUAAAGGGCCGCAGGCUGCGCGGGCCAAGCCCCGGGACGUGGCGCGUCCACUCCAGCGACCUCAGUUCCAGCCUCAUGGUUAAACUACCACCUCAGCUAAAAGGAACCAGGAGAGGGUGGCAGAGAACGUCACCCAGGGGAGACUGCCAUGCUGCUGUGGGUCAGAAGUGACCUUAACAGGAAACCUUGCUGUCUGUGAUCCUAACAAUGCAACGAGAUUGUAUCCAGAUCAUGAAAAACCUCAGCACAGAAAUUGUGCUUCUAGACGUUUCCAUCAUAACUGGAUUUUCCUACCGAUGAACAGGGAGCAUGUUACAGUCACCAACCACAAGUGUUCUCUUUUCACCCCAUUUUGCUUCCUUUGGAUCCAUGGCAUUGAGAAAUUGGAAGAAAGACUAGAUCAUCUGAUCAAACCCAUAAGUUUGUUUUGUUUUGUUUUGUUUUCUUAAAAUGGCCAAACAUUGAGAGAAAGAUAGGGAGUUUUAUGCAUCACUAAAGUUACCUGGUACUGUUUUUUGUUCAGCAAUUUUAAAUAUUUGGAAGCCUUACGGUUACAGUUGCAGGUGAUGGAAUUGCCGAGAAAGGAGAGCUCAGGGAGCCAUCAGCUCCUAAUCACAUCCCUUGAGCUUCACCAGAAAAUCUUUGGCUUUUUUUUUUCUUUCUUUCUUUCUUUUUUUUUUAACUCCAAGAAACGCUCACUCCCCUUUUAGUACAGCAGCCCACUCCCCUGGCAGAGGUAAGCAGACCCACUUUAUUCUAAAAAGCAGCUCCCAAACUAGGACAGAAUAGAAAGAAUAGUUAUGGCACAUCUGAGGAAUGAGCGUGGGACAAAGUGCAGGUUCCUGGACCUUAAAUGGGAGGACCUGGCCCACCAGGUAGGCCCCAGGGCUCUGUAAGUCUCCUGAACAUUCCAUCCUGGCCCCUUCCUUGUGUCUCAGUUUCCACCCGCUGCAUCCAGGGACUGCUCUGAGCUUUCCGUGUCUGGUCAAGGGAAUGUGCUUCGCCACUGCCGGUUGUUCAGUGCAGGUCAGCACAGAGCAACGUGGCCUUGCUCCAUCCAGGUGAGCUUGAUUCACCUGUGAUCUCUCUUAAACUCACUUCACAGGUGAAAACCACCUUCCCACCCCUCACAGCCACUUUCGAAGGAGCAGCCUGCCUAAAUCCUACCCACCAAGAACUUUAGCAAGAACUCAAGGAUACAGCAACCCGAGCGCAUAUUCAGUAAGAAAUGCACCGUUAUUUUUUACUUAGGAAAAUUAAUCUCACAUAAUCUUAGCAAUUAAUCUCACUUUUAAUAAGGGCCUAUUAAUAAAAGAUGUGUCUUUACUUCAACUGUGUAUCCAGAAGAACAGUAUUCUGGAAAUCUGAAAGUAUUUUUCCUGGUGUUGAUGGUUAAAUGUCUAGAUGUAUGUAUUUUUCUAGCAUCCCAGUUUCCUUAAAAUAAAAUCAGUGUGCUCAAAAUACCUCAAGUCAUCUUUUUAUAAGUAUCAUAUGGAGAAAGGGAAAAAAUGCAAAAUUUCAAAGAUUUUUGGGACUACCUAGAGGAAAUGCAAUUUGUUUGCAACAUGGAGAUAAAGCACUCGUGUGUCAUUUUCUGACACUGAACCUUAUAUAUAUGUUGAGUAUCUAUAUGCAAAGAAUGACUAUAUUUUUUAAAAAAAUUAUGUUUGUACUUAUUAAUCAUUGUCCUCUAUAUUCAUCUGUCUUUGGAAAUAGAGCUUUCAGAAGAAAUAAGUACAUUUAGAAAAACAUUUUCGAAGAGAGGACUCAUCGUGCACAAAUCAUUCUUCGUUUAUUCCAGCAUUUACCAGGGAGAUCAACUCAUAAUGACCUUGAGUUCAGUGAAAAGCCUCUCUACUAAGUGAAAUUAUACCAGUAGGCAAAGUGCCUCCUGGAGCAACGCAGUGAGAAGAUGAGCUGUUAAGAACCCUGUAGCACCGUCUGUCAAAUCUCAUUUCAGACCCUCCUUUCUGUUCCCGUGUUGUUGCCUUAAUUCAGAAUGUCAGUUUCUUUCCCUCCUCUUACCAGUCUCCCUGUCACCCCUAGUCUACAUCACUGUACCGCAAUGAUCACCUACAAACACCACCCCUACUCCCAUCAGCCUUAAUAACACAGGACACCCCCCACAAUUAUUUUUAAAUUGCAAUCGUCUUGGCUUUGAAAAAAAAUUGUUUUUCUUGCAUCUAGGUUUGACCAUGGAACUUAGCCAUGAUGAAUAAGAUAAAAGUCUGUGAAAUUCCAAGAAAGGCUUCCUAAGAGAGGCAAUAACUAACUGGGCAUGCUCUUUCUUGCCCUUCCCUCCCAUUUCCAGAUUCCUGCCUGGAGCUUGAUUGUAAUGGUUGAAAUUCCAGCUACCAUCUUGGACUCGUAAUCUCAGGAUCUGAGCCAUGAGCUAAGGGAGAAUGUGACUCCUAACUGACAGAAGUGUGCAACUCUCCCAGAGUCAGCAUCCCUGUGGGUUCAUCUCGGCAUCACCACCCACGCCGCCUUCUCUCCCUCCCUCUGAUGCCUUCCUGCCUUCAAUGUAGUUUGUUGCCUGGCAUGUUCUGGCACUGGGCUGCACCUUGGGAGGAGAGUAGAGAGCAGCACAGCCAAUGCCUACCCUUUCAGGCAUUACAGCCCUUACAGGAAUUAAGGAAGGUAGGGGUCAAUGACUGAUUUCACAAGUAUGUUGGCAUAGGCCCUGGUAAGUGCUAUGAAAGACAAGUGUAGGGGUGUCUGAUUUAGUCUGGGGAGUCAGAACAGGCAUCGUUGAGGAGGUGGCCUUUGGCCUGACUUUGGAAGGAUGAGUAACAAAAAAAUAGGGGAAGAGAGAAUCCAGGAAAAAAGCAGAAAUAUUUAACUUUAGAAGUUAACACUUGUUAAAAUAUCAAAGAUAGUAAUUGCAAAAGAAUAGCCACAGACAGAAUCUUCUGAAACAGUAGAGACAAAAAAAGAUGAAAUACAGACAGCUUGGUCAAUCAGACAAAUGGAAAGAAAAAAAUUGUGCAAGAGAAAAACUGGAAGAAAUUAAGUAAAUACAUAAAAUCUAAUUAUAUCAUAAAGCACAUAACAACAAGGGGAAAAAUACACACCAGGCAAACAUCAGUCAGAAUAAAGCUAGUUUACAAAUACUAAUAUUAGGAACAAAUUUUUAGAUUAAAAUCUUUUUUGGUAAAAAUAUUCACCAUCUAAAGAAAGUUCAGUCCAUUAGGAAAUAUAAAUACAUAUAUAACUAACAAAACAGUUUCAAAAUAGAAAAAGUAAAAAUCAGAAUUGUAAGGAAAAUUGACAGAUCCCCAGUCAUUGAUAGUGCACAUUUAUCUCACUAAUUGAUGAAUUCACAGGGGGAAAAAUAGUAUGAAUUUAGAUAUUCUGAGAAAAGCAAUUAUCAAGGUUAUUCUGAUAUGGUAUGGAUAUAUCAAACACUCAUCCAAGAAUUACAAAAAUCAAGUCUGGGGCCACAAAGCAAGCCUCAAUUAAUUCUGAAUAAUUAGUACCAUAACUGGGGUACAAAUUAAUAAUUUAAAAAAGAAUUUAGAAAACCUCACAUUUGUUGGCUUUAAGCCAUAUUUUUAAUAACGUGACGAGGAAUAAUGGAAA
Long non-coding RNA from Capra hircus (goat), 3822 nucleotides. RefSeq lists it as uncharacterized. The record is from RefSeq and is a predicted model, not a curated record. The transcript is spliced from 3 exons. NCBI's taxonomy places the organism in Eukaryota, Metazoa, Chordata, Mammalia, Artiodactyla, Bovidae.